Molecule: ribosomal RNA, 179 nt
Filed under: uncultured bacterium
Lineage: Bacteria
Description: partial 16S ribosomal RNA
Rfam family: Bacterial small subunit ribosomal RNA
Source: RNAcentral
UCGCCUGCAUGAAGUUGGAAUUGCUAGUAAUCGCGAAUCAGAAUGUCGCGGUGAAUACGUUCCCGGCCUUGUACACACCGCCCGUCAAGCCAUGAAAGCCGGGGGUACCUGAAGUACGUAACCGCAAGGAUCGUCCUAGGGUAAAACUGGUAAUUGGGGCUAAGUCGUAACAAGGUACC